UUUAAAACUAUCAUGUUCAAUGGACUUUCACCUCUAUCCGUUAGACAAACAGGAAUGUAAAGUAGUUAUAGAGAGCUUUGGUCUUACUCUUGACAGACUACAAUAUGCAUGGCGAGAGAUAAGUCCUGUAAACAUUCAACACUUUAAUCUUCCGUUGUAUGAAAUUCAUGGACCAAAAACUUCUGUAUCAAUAAACUAUCAUGACCUUACAGCGUCGAAAUAUUCGGAUUUGGAGGUUACCAUAGAAUUUCACCGGUCUAUAGGAUACUAUAUGACAGAAGUGUUCAUUCCGGAUGUUCUCAUUGUCCUGUUGUCAUGGGUUACGUUCUGGUUACAUCCGGAGGCAGUUCCAGCACGUGUGUCGUUGGGUGCUGUAACUGUUCUGACGAUAUCCUCACAAGGAUCAGCUGCUAGAAGAUAUGCUCCAAAAGUCUCGUACAUUAAGGCCAUAGAUGUUUGGAGUUUAUCCCACAUUUUGUUCGUUUUUGGGGCAAUGGUUGAGUUCUCGGUUGUCAAUGUAUUAUCUAGGAAGAAACGACCCAUUAUUGAGUUUAAAUCAUCGAACAACAAAAAGAUAGAGACACAGGAUCAUCGUCCGUUUAUGAAAGAAGCAAAGCGGAUAGAUUUUAUAUCGAGAUUUGCAUUUCCAGUAGUGUAUAUUAUGUUCAAUAUCCUAUUCUGGAUUGUAACUGUGUACAUGGAAAACUGACCAUGUAUUUUUUAAUGAAACAAGGUUUUCGUAUCAAUGUCAAUGUGAAUAGAUUUUUAUACAAUACAUUUUUACAUAUAGACAAAGUGUAUAUAAUAAAACAUUGCGUAUCACUUACCUCAUUUCUGUAGUAAACACAAUACAAAUCACAAGGAAAUAUUAUUUAAGUGAGAUUUAUAUUAACAUGUUCACAUUUGUAUUGACAUUUUAAUGGUUAACUGUAGCUCAAAACCUUCGCAUGUCAUGAACAGCAACUUGAUAUAUUUAUAUAUAGCAAGUGUUUCUUAUGCAAUAAUUCGUAACUAAAAUCAUGCAUCUUUUACAUUAAU
Long non-coding RNA from Mytilus californianus (California mussel), 1038 nucleotides. RefSeq lists it as uncharacterized. NCBI's taxonomy places the organism in Eukaryota, Metazoa, Mollusca, Bivalvia, Mytilida, Mytilidae. The transcript is spliced from 4 exons. The record is from RefSeq and is a predicted model, not a curated record.